Molecule: long non-coding RNA, 1195 nt
Filed under: Marmota monax (woodchuck)
Lineage: Eukaryota; Metazoa; Chordata; Mammalia; Rodentia; Sciuridae
Source: RNAcentral
CUAACACAAAGACUAACCCUGCCGCUAGACUUUACCCUAGUUCUAAUUCUGGCCCUAACCAUAAACCAAAUGCUAACCCCAAAACUGACCCUUACCCUAACACAAACCCUAGCUACAAACCUUAUCCUAACCAAAAACCUAACCAUAACAAUAGACUUAUCCAUAACCCUAACCCUAAAACUAGUCAUAAACAUAACCCUAGCUCUUACAUUACCCAUAGCCCUAAUGCUAGCCAUAAACCUCAAACAAAACCUAGCAUUAAACCUAGCCCUAAACCUAGCCCCAAGCGUAACCCUAACACUAGCCCUGGCACGAAGCCUAACCCAAAUGCUUGCCCUAGCCCUAACCCUAACCUAAACUCUAAACCUUACUCUAAACAUAAUCCUAGCCCUAACCCUAAAUCUAACCCUAAACCUAGACCUAAUCCUAACUGUAACCAUAGCCCAAAUCCCAGCUCUAACUGUAUCCAUUACCUUAAACAUAACCCUGAUCCUAAUGCUAACCCAAGCCCUAAUUAUACCCCUAAAUCUAACUGUAGCCUUGAUUCUAAUGCUAAACCUCACCUAAACCUAACACUAGCUCAAACCAUAACACUUACACUAAAACUAAACCUGACAGUAACCUUAGCCAAAAUGCUAACCUUAAUGCAAGCCCUAACAUUAGCACUAACUAUAUUCAUUACCCUAAACAUAAGCCUAACCCAAAUGCUAACCCUAGGCCUAACAUUAACCCUAUCACUCACACUAACCCUAUGCAUUACUCUAAACCUAACCUGAACCCUAAUCCUAACCCUAUCCAUUACUCUAAUCCUAAACCUAACCAUAACAUUAAUUCGAACCCUAACCCUAAAUCUUAACCUAACCAAACCCUAAACCAGACUCUGACCCUGAUAAUACACCUAGCUCUAAACCUGACCCUAACCAUAAACCUAACCCUUACACUAGACCUGGACAUAAACCUAACCUAACACUAUCCCUAACCAUAACCCUGGAACUGACAUUAGUCCUAGCCCUAAUUCUACCUAGACCUAACCCUAACAUAAAUCCUAGCCCUCAUACUAGUCCUAAACUGAGCCUUAAUCCUAAUCUGAAACGUCACCCUAUCCCAAUCCCUAAUUUUAAUCCUCAAUCUAGCCCUGAAACUAGCUAUAACCCCAUCCUUAUCCCUAAAAUUAACGCUAAAAAUAACAUUAACC